This is an unclassified non-coding RNA of Papio anubis (olive baboon), 148 nucleotides long. It matches the Rfam family "Metazoan signal recognition particle RNA". From Rfam's summary of the family: The signal recognition particle (SRP) is a universally conserved ribonucleoprotein. It is involved in the co-translational targeting of proteins to membranes. The record is from Ensembl. Lineage: Eukaryota; Metazoa; Chordata; Mammalia; Primates; Cercopithecidae.
GUCGGGCAUGGUAGUGCAUGCCUGUAGUCCCAGCUACUCAGGAGACUGAGGCAGGAGAAUUGCUUGAACCCGGGAGCCGGAGGUUGCAGUGAGCCAAGAUUGUGCCACUGCACUCCAGCCUGGGUGACAGAGCAAGACUCUGUCUCAG